UGGGGAAUAUUGCGCAAUGGGCGAAAGCCUGACGCAGCGACGCCGCGUGAGGGAUGAAGGUUUUCGGAUCGUAAACCUCUGUCAGAAGGGAAGAAACCGCACUGUGCUAAUCAGCAGUGCCUUGACGGUACCUUCAAAGGAAGCACCGGCUAACUCCGUGCCAGCAGCCGCGGUAAUACGGAGGGUGCAAGCGUUAAUCGGAAUUACUGGGCGUAAAGCGCACGUAGGCUGCUUUGUAAGUCAGGGGUGAAAUCCCACGGCUCAACCGUGGAACUGCCUUUGAUACUGCUUAGCUUGAAUUCGGGAGAGGGUGGCGGAAUUCCAGGUGUAGGAGUGAAAUCCGUAGAUAUCUGGAGGAACAUCAGUGGCGAAGGCGGCCACCUGGACCGGUAUUGACGCUGAGGUGCGAAAGCGUGGGGAGCAAACAGG
This 429-nucleotide ribosomal RNA is filed under the name Fusobacteriota bacterium. RNAcentral's name for it is "Fusobacteria bacterium partial 16S ribosomal RNA". It matches the Rfam family "Bacterial small subunit ribosomal RNA", at positions 355 to 776 of the family's 1533-position model. Lineage: Bacteria; Fusobacteriati; Fusobacteriota. The record is from RNAcentral.